RNAcentral lists this long non-coding RNA (454 nucleotides) under Pan troglodytes (chimpanzee). Its description in RNAcentral is "long non-coding RNA NONPTRT002589". The record is from RNAcentral. Lineage: Eukaryota; Metazoa; Chordata; Mammalia; Primates; Hominidae.
AGGAGGGAAACCAGAAGAGCCCCCCAGGCUCGCCAGUUGUUUGUUGGCUCCCUACAAACAUGUCAUUCAAGUGGCUAAUCUUACAACAGCACAAAUUCAUCUAACCAGAAAGAGAAGAGGAGGCUCCAAAGGCACUUGACUACUGAGCAUCACCCUGGACGUGUACAAGUCUGCGUCCUUAUUGUUUUCUUCAUUGGGCCGAACUUUCUGGUCCUCAUCCAACAGCUCUUCUAUCACGUGUUCGAAAGUGUCAGCCAACGAUGUCAAGCCUCUUGAACCUGCCUUGGGCCCAUUCACGCUCUCCAGAGUCCCAUGGGUCCGCACACCUGGGUAGGCCAAGCCACCUUGUCCUCGGAUGUUUGCUUCUUUCAUGGGGGCAGCCUUCAUGCAACCAAAGUAUGAAAUAACCAUAGUAAGGAAAAGGAUGGUCAUCACUCUUCUCACCUGGUGGAAC